ACGAACGCUGGCGGCAUGCCUAACACAUGCAAGUCGAACGAGACCUUCGGGUCUAGUGGCGCACGGGUGCGUAACGCGUGGGAAUCUGCCCUUCGGUUGGGAAUAACUGAGAGAAAUUUCAGCUAAUACCUUAUAAUGUCUUCGGACCAAAGAUUUAUCGCCGAGGGAUGAGCCCGCGUAGGAUUAGGUAGUUGGUGGGGUAAUGGCCUACCAAGCCGACGAUCCUUAGCUGGUCUGAGAGGAUGAUCAGCCACACUGGGACUGAGACACGGCCCAGACUCCUACGGGAGGCAGCAGUGGGGAAUAUUGGACAAUGGGCGAAAGCCUGAUCCAGCAAUGCCGCGUGAGUGAUGAAGGCCUUAGGGUUGUAAAGCUCUUUUACCCGGGAUGAUAAUGACAGUACCGGGAGAAUAAGCACCGGCUAACUCCGUG
Molecule: ribosomal RNA, 432 nt
Filed under: uncultured bacterium
Lineage: Bacteria
Description: partial 16S ribosomal RNA
Rfam family: Bacterial small subunit ribosomal RNA
Source: RNAcentral